Molecule: long non-coding RNA, 746 nt
Filed under: Bemisia tabaci
Lineage: Eukaryota; Metazoa; Arthropoda; Insecta; Hemiptera; Aleyrodidae
Description: lncRNA ENSSWEETPG003176
Source: RNAcentral
AAAGUUGCAGUUGCCCGGGUGAUUUAUUUGAGGUUAUAAACCGCGUGUAAACAAACCAAAACAAACGAAAACUGAUACAGAAUGUUCCUCUUUCUUAGUUUCUUGUCAUGUAUUGGUAAUUUCGGUCUCUCUAAAUAGUGAAAUAGUCAUUCGUCUCUGACUUAAAGCAGAGUGAACAGUGGCCAGUCUUCUUAUUUGCAAAAGUCCCAAGUAAUUCUAUCAGCAGUGACAAACUCAGUUUGCAAAGCUUAAAUUUUUUCGGCCUCUUCGGAUGAAAUUCAUUUCUUGUAGAAUAUUAUAAUGCAUAAAACAGCCUAAGCAGCAGAAUGUUUCGGCAGAGAUCCUCAGAAGGCAGUCCGGUGGCUCCUGAUGGCAGAGAUGAAAGUGAAACAUCCAAGUCAAGGGCUUCUGUAACUCGUUCCAUAAGCAGUAAACAAUGCAAGUGCUAUGAAUAUUGAUUCUACCAAGAAUGAACCUGAUGUCAAAGAAAAACUGAGCAACCUUGGAAAUGUAAAUUUAGCUUUACUAACAAAACACCUUUUUCAAAAGAAGAUCUGAAAGAGGUAAGCAUCAAUCUAUUUACAUUACCGAUUCACAAUUUAAUUAUUCAUGCAAUUGGUGACUGUAUUUCAUUAUUUUGCAACAUAAUUUCGAGAUUAAUCAUUAGUUUUGGUUUAAAAAAAAAAUCCAGUUCAAAGCAGUUUGAUACAAUAGACCGUUCAUAAAAUAUUUAACGUUAAAUAUGG